UGAAACUUUCUUUAUCUAUAGAUUUUUCUAUAGAAGUCACAGAUUUUGCUUUUAGUGACGCGAGUGAUGUCCCUUUAGAUGAAUUUGUGCGUUUACCAGGCUUGGUACUAGGUCCUGUACAUUCAAGGGAUUGUAUUGAAUGCGAUUUAGCGACCUUGGCAUUCGAAUGAAAGUUUUUGUCGUUAGACUGAACAACAAUUGGAUUAUUGUCCUUAACGGCUAUUUCCGGUCUUGAGGCAAGACGUUGUUUUGAUUCCGUGAUUGAAACGUUAGUUAUCU
RNAcentral lists this long non-coding RNA (279 nucleotides) under Mytilus galloprovincialis (Mediterranean mussel). Lineage: Eukaryota; Metazoa; Mollusca; Bivalvia; Mytilida; Mytilidae. The record is from RNAcentral.